GCCAAAUUGUGCAUCGCUUCUUCAAUUGAGAAAAUGCUUGUGAAGGUCGUUCCAGGCUUUCUCCUCUCUAUUGUAAUAAAUAUGUAUUUCAAUACAUUUCGUAAUUACUUAUCACUCACUUCGGACUUUUCCAAAUUAACGGGAUGGCGAAAUCCAACUUUGACAAAGGAGUAGAGCAGGACCAAUGUGACCAAAAGAUGCAGUCCAACCAUGAUGAGGAAAAGGGCAGUGGUCCCCCACAAUUUGAUAAACUGCGUUAGGUUCUCAUCAUCUACCUUCGUGACCUGUGUAAUAGCCACGGUUCCAGCUAAGAGGACCAGCCCAAUUCCAAACGUGACCCCAGUCAACGACUUUGCAAUUUAAAAGAAAUGUAUACGAAAAAUCCUUGAUUUGAGUUUGUAAAUAUUUAAGUAUGAAAAAUGUAUUAAGUAAUUCUCACCAAUUCGUGGUUGUACACGUAAUUGUGUAUGUGUCUUAAAUUAUACGUCGACUGAAACGCUCAGCAGUCCCGUCCCAGUUGCUCCCCAUGAGGACGCCGAUAUUUAUAACAUUUUCAACUUCAAAAUACACCC
Long non-coding RNA from Folsomia candida, 572 nucleotides. RefSeq lists it as uncharacterized. The transcript has 3 exons. The record is from RefSeq and is a predicted model, not a curated record. Lineage: Eukaryota; Metazoa; Arthropoda; Collembola; Entomobryomorpha; Isotomidae.